RNAcentral lists this ribosomal RNA (254 nucleotides) under uncultured bacterium. RNAcentral describes it as "partial 16S ribosomal RNA". It matches the Rfam family "Bacterial small subunit ribosomal RNA", at positions 524 to 776 of the family's 1533-position model. The record is from RNAcentral.
UACGUAGGGGGCGAGCGUUGUCCGGAUUUAUUGGGCGUAAAGAGCUCGUAGGCGGCUUGGCAAGUCGGGUGUGAAACCUCCAGGCUCAACCUGGAGACGCCACUCGAUACUGCCAUGGCUAGAGUCCGGUAGGGGACCACGGAAUUCCUGGUGUAGCGGUGAAAUGCGCAGAUAUCAGGAGGAACACCGGUGGCGAAGGCGACUACCUGGACAAUUGCUGACACUCAGGCACGAAAGCAUGGGGAGCAAAAGGG